AACGAACGCUGGCGGCAUGCCUAACACAUGCAAGUCGAACGAGACCUUCGGGUCUAGUGGCGCACGGGUGCGUAACGCGUGGGAACCUGCCCUUAGGUUCGGAAUAACUCCCCGAAAGGGGUGCUAAUACCGGAUAAUGUCUUCGGACCAAAGAUUUAUCGCCUUUGGAUGGGCUCGCGUUGGAUUAGCUAGUUGGUAGGGUAAAAGCCUACCAAGGCGACGAUCCAUAGCUGGUCUGAGAGGAUGAUCAGCCACACUGGGACUGAGACACGGCCCAGACUCCUACGGGAGGCAGCAGUGGGGAAUAUUGGACAAUGGGCGAAAGCCUGAUCCAGCAAUGCCGCGUGAGUGAUGAAGGCCUUAGGGUUGUAAAGCUCUUUUACCCGGGAUGAUAAUGACAGUACCGGGAGAAUAAGCACCGGCUAACUCCGUG
RNAcentral lists this ribosomal RNA (433 nucleotides) under uncultured bacterium. RNAcentral's name for it is "partial 16S ribosomal RNA". It matches the Rfam family "Bacterial small subunit ribosomal RNA", at positions 29 to 507 of the family's 1533-position model. The record is from RNAcentral.